CUGAACUCCAUUAAAGCAGUCGAGGCACAUUCGAAAACCUCUGACAGCUAUCUGAGUGCAUUCCAAGCAGUCAACAUUCAUGUGGCCAGCCCGAAUGUAGAGCACAUGCACGAAACUCUCAAGGUGUGUUUGAGGUGUAAAAGCUUGAAAGGUAGCUGACCACAGUUUGAUUGUAUG
Long non-coding RNA from Thalassophryne amazonica, 177 nucleotides. RefSeq lists it as uncharacterized. The transcript is spliced from 6 exons. The record is from RefSeq and is a predicted model, not a curated record. Lineage: Eukaryota; Metazoa; Chordata; Actinopteri; Batrachoidiformes; Batrachoididae.